RNAcentral lists this microRNA precursor (124 nucleotides) under Arabidopsis suecica. Its description in RNAcentral is "MIR405". It matches the Rfam family "MIR405 microRNA precursor family". Lineage: Eukaryota; Viridiplantae; Streptophyta; Magnoliopsida; Brassicales; Brassicaceae. The record is from RNAcentral.
UCAACCCAUUUAACCUUCUAACCCAUCAAAUUAAAUGAGUUUAUGGGUUGACUCAACUCAUUUAAGCAAAUGAGUUGAGUCAACCCAUGAACUCAUUUAACUCUAAACUCAUUGGGUAAUGAGU